GUCAAAGACUUCUCUUGUCUGAAGACACUGACAGGAACUGAGCUGCUGGAGAUGUCAUAUCAGAGUUCACCUGCUGAGGUUGAGAUGACAUGUUUUUACACUGUAAAGCUUGGAGAGUCACAUUACCUAUCUCCACACAGUGACACAUCCUCCGUCACCAUACACAGUGACACAUCCUCCGUCACCAUACACAGUGACACAUCCUCUGUCACCAUACACAGUGAUACAUCCUCCGUCACCAUACACAGUGACACAUCCUCCGUCACCAUACACAGUGACACAUCCUCCGUCACCAUACACAGUGACACAUCCUCCGUCACCAUACACACUCUAAAACCUGAGGUGAGUCUUCAGCAUUUUCCUGGUGAAUACGUUUUCAUGACCUGCACUCUGCCUGGAUCUGCUCAUGAAGAUACGAGAUGUAACCUUUACUUUGGAGAAGAAAGGGAUCCAUUUCAAACAACAACCAUCUUGAAGCAAAGGACCUCAAAGAAUCAGAGGUUCUGCCAGUUUACUGUCACAAUUUCUGAUUUGCUUACCCGUCUCCAUUUUCCUCAAAGAAGCGUCACCAGCUGUGAUUACAGUUUGGGAAGUGAACCAAACUCUUUGUCUCCUCGUAGUGAUGGAUACCGCUUGACUGAUUUGAUUGUUGGCAGACCCGGUGCUUCUGCAACUCCUGUGAAACUGGAAUCAGAUAUUGUGGACAAAGAGACACACUCCACACAGACUAUGGCGACAUCUACUAUGACCACAGGUAGGACUGUUAGCAGGCUCCAUGCCUCCACACCUAUAACUCGGACCAAACGAACGUUAGGUCAGAAUGUUGGAUCCAGCAACACUGGUAGUUUCAUCUCUACUUCUAUCACACCAGUGAAACCAACAUCAGUUGGUCAGACACCUCAUAAAUCUAGCACUAAAGCUAGCUUGCUCCAUGUAACCCCAAUUGAUCCACCAACAGCAGAAACAUGGACAUGGAACUUGGUAGUAGUUGCAGCGUGUCUUGGAGGUGUCAUCUUACUGGGCCUAGCACUUCUCUUUACCAAAAGAAGAACUGAAAGAUGUUCUAGCAAAAGGACACAAGCUGAUGCCACUGAUGACUUAAUGUGCAUGAGAGAGCUUAACCAUGGAGGAUCAGUAAUUAAAAAAUGUUUUCUCUGUCAGAUGUAG
Molecule: long non-coding RNA, 1167 nt
Filed under: Cottoperca gobio
Lineage: Eukaryota; Metazoa; Chordata; Actinopteri; Perciformes; Bovichtidae
Description: lncRNA (ENSCGOG00000023311.1)
Source: RNAcentral